This is a non-coding RNA of Triticum urartu, 548 nucleotides long. NCBI's taxonomy places the organism in Eukaryota, Viridiplantae, Streptophyta, Magnoliopsida, Poales, Poaceae. The record is from RefSeq and is a predicted model, not a curated record.
UGUUGCCCUUCAGAGGUGGUGCCGGAAGGAUCAGGGGCGAAGCCAACAUAGAGAAGGAGGCGAUUGUGAUCGCAGCUAAGGGAAGCAAAAGCACGUGGAGGGGCAUUCCUCAGCCUACUGGUACAUGUCAUUCUUCCAGCAAGCGGCGCCAGUUCCAAAAUGAAGAUUUGCUUAAUUGUGAAAGGAUGUUUUGUCUCAAACUCUAUAUGGUCCAAGAUAUACAAUCAUUUCUUGAAAAUCAUAUUACUUCCAUCCCAAAAAGCUUGUCUUAGAUUUGUAUAAAUGCGGAUGUUGGUUCCCUGCUCUAGUUCUUGUAAGCUGAAAAUCUGCGUUCUUUCUGCAGUAUCUUUGUUUGAAGAGAUUAACGGCUGGCAAAGACUAAGUCUCCUCUGGUGUGCAUCAAUCAAGGGUUACAUGUAGUUCUACUUAUGCCCAGCCCGGCAAGGUAGCGGGUAUAUAUGGAAGAAGCUAUGUUGUUAAUCUGUUAUAUCGUGAUUUAAGACCAGCAAAUGGCUAUCUUCAUGCAAACAGAGUUAGGCAUUAACUGA